AUCCAGCUGACGAGUCCCAAGUAGGACGAAACACGCGUCCUGGAU
This is a non-coding RNA of Schistosoma rodhaini, 45 nucleotides long. The record is from Rfam. NCBI's taxonomy places the organism in Eukaryota, Metazoa, Platyhelminthes, Trematoda, Strigeidida, Schistosomatidae.